GUCCCUUUCCUUAUUCUUCUCUCUAUAUUUUCUCCAUUUCCAUCUUUUCUUUUCUUUUUUCUUAACACUUUCUUUUCAGCAAUCACUGUCUCAUUUCCAUAUCCGUUUCGCAUUGUUUAGUGUUACCAUUUUCGUUUUCGUUUUUCAAUGAGUCGUUACGAUACUAACCCUUUCGCUGAGGAAGAGGUUAAUCCUUUCGCGGAUCCAUCAGUUAGGAAAGGAUCUGGUGGAGGUUCCUUUAAUUCUUCAAAUCCUGGUAGUAUAUCAAGGCUUUCACCCCUUCCUCCUGAACCAUAUGACCGUGGUGCAACAAUAGAUAUUCCUCUUGAUUCUGCCAAGGAUAUAAAAGAAAAGGAAAAGGAACUUAAAGCAAAGGAGGCUGAACUUAAAAGGCGAGAGCAGGAAUUGAAACGGAGGGAGGAGGCAUUAGCACGAUCUGGAGUGGUGAUAGAGGAGAAAAAUUGGCCGCCUUUUUUUCCUAUUAUCCAUAAUGACAUUUCAAAUGACAUACCAAUCCACCUACAAACAAUCAUGUAUGUUGGUUUCACAUCAUUGAUAGGUUUGGUCAUCUGCCUCACUUGGAAUGUAAUGGCUGUCACUGUAGCCUGGAUCAAGGGAGAAGGUCCAACAAUUUGGUUUCUAGCCAUCAUAUAUUUCUUAACUGGCGUCCCUGGAGGCUAUUACUUGUGGUAUCGUCCUCUUUACGGUGCUUGCAGGACUGAUAGUGCGUUAAAAUUUGGAUCCUUUUUCUUCGUUUACGUGUUCCAUAUAUUAUUUUGCGUCCUUGCUGCAAUUGCUCCUCCAUUUAUUUUCAAGGGAAAAUCCCUUGCAGGUAUUUUACCUGCUUUGGAUCUCUUUAGCUAUAAUUAUGUGCUUGGGAUAUUAUACUUCGUUGGUUUUGCAUUUUUUUGCUGUGAAUCACUUGUCAGCAUCUGGGUUAUUCAGCAAGUAUAUAUGUAUUUCCGAGGUAGUGGUAAAGCGGCUGAGAUGAAGCGGGAGGCUACAAGAAGAACCAUGAUGUCAGCACUAUGAGACGGGAGGUGGUAAUCGAAAAUGGGGGGUAUUUGCGAUACAAAUUGUAGGUGGACUAGGGCUUUUGGCUACAAGUUUUUUUGUUCUUCUCCCUUACCUCAUAGGGGUUAGCAAACCUUCACCAAGAUUUUCCAAAUGGCGUCCAAAUAAUUUAAUUUUGUUUGAUUGAGAUAUAAAAUUGAUUGUAUUUGUAUAUCACUGGAUACGAUUUAGAGCCUAAGUAUUAAAUUAUCCCAAUACUUAUGUACUUCCAGAACUAUUUACAGAAUAUUAAAAGCUGCCCUUGUUUUUUAUUAUUAUUGCAAAAA
This is an RNA transcript of Gossypium arboreum, 1340 nucleotides long. It is a transcript of the gene named secretory carrier-associated membrane protein 1-like, with no coding region annotated. Lineage: Eukaryota; Viridiplantae; Streptophyta; Magnoliopsida; Malvales; Malvaceae. The record is from RefSeq and is a predicted model, not a curated record. The transcript has 14 exons.